AUUGAACGCUGGCGGCAUGCCUUACACAUGCAAGUCGAACGGCAGCACGGACUUCGGUCUGGUGGCGAGUGGCGAACGGGUGAGUAAUGUAUCGGAACGUACCUUUCAGUGGGGGGAUAACGUAGCGAAAGUUACGCUAAUACCGCAUAUUCUGUGAGCAGGAAAGCAGGGGAUCGCAAGACCUUGCGCUGAUUGAGCGGCCGAUAUCAGAUUAGCUAGUUGGUGAGGUAAAGGCUCACCAAGGCGACGAUCUGUAGCGGGUCUGAGAGGAUGAUCCGCCACACUGGAACUGAGACACGGUCCAGACUCCUACGGGAGGCAGCAGUGGGGAAUUUUGGACAAUGGGGGCAACCCUGAUCCAGCCAUGCCGCGUGAGUGAAGAAGGCCUCGGUUGG
This 395-nucleotide ribosomal RNA is filed under the name uncultured bacterium. RNAcentral's name for it is "bacterial SSU rRNA". It matches the Rfam family "Bacterial small subunit ribosomal RNA", at positions 30 to 426 of the family's 1533-position model. The record is from RNAcentral.